UGCCUUGUUGUUCUAACAUACAUAGGCACGUUCCAUUGUGUCUAAACUCAGCAAUAAGGCUACAGAAUGUGACAGGUUAUGCUUCCAUCAUUGUAAGACAAAGUUGCAUUGGUGACAAUGAGACCUGUAAUAACC
This 135-nucleotide small nucleolar RNA is filed under the name Salvator merianae (Argentine black and white tegu). Its description in RNAcentral is "Small nucleolar RNA SNORA1 (ENSSMRG00000009820.1)". It matches the Rfam family "Small nucleolar RNA SNORA1". Rfam says of the family: ACA1 is a member of the H/ACA class of snoRNA that guide the sites of modification of uridines to pseudouridines. Lineage: Eukaryota; Metazoa; Chordata; Lepidosauria; Squamata; Teiidae. The record is from Rfam by way of RNAcentral.